GUGUCCUACGGGGCGCAGCAGUGAGGAAUAUUGGUCAAUGGCCGGAAGGCUGAACCAGCCAAGCCGCGUGAGGGACGAAGGUGCCAAGCAUUGUAAACUUCUUUUGUCAAGGGACAAAAUCAGGCUCGAGAGCCUGACCGAGGGUACUUGAAGAAAAAGCAUCGGCUAACUCCGUGCCAGCAGCCGCGGUAAUACGGAGGAUGCGAGCGCUAUCCGGAUUUAUUGGGUUUAAAGGGUGCGCAGGCGGAAGCGCAAGUCAGCGGUAAAAUUGAGAGGCUCAACCUCUUCCCGCCGUUGAAACUGCG
This 305-nucleotide ribosomal RNA is filed under the name uncultured bacterium. RNAcentral's name for it is "bacterial SSU rRNA". It matches the Rfam family "Bacterial small subunit ribosomal RNA", at positions 334 to 637 of the family's 1533-position model. The record is from RNAcentral.